CUUCGGCAAAAUCGCUGUCUUUAUCAAGUUGCAAGCGGUCUUGAUAUUCAGAUAAUAAUUGUUCCAGCUGCUUAAUUCUACUACCACAAUCAUCCAUAUCGUUAGCAAAUUACUCAAAUGUACAUCGCGAUUUUCGACAUUAUAAACUAUAAACCUCCAUUGAACUACAAUGUACUACACAUUUUCUUCGCUGAUAAUUUCCUUUGAUAAUUUCACGGCCACCAUUUUGAUU
Molecule: non-coding RNA, 232 nt
Organism: Paramuricea clavata
Lineage: Eukaryota; Metazoa; Cnidaria; Anthozoa; Malacalcyonacea; Plexauridae
Source: the annotation of a GenBank genome assembly